RNAcentral lists this ribosomal RNA (482 nucleotides) under uncultured bacterium. RNAcentral's name for it is "SSU rRNA". It matches the Rfam family "Bacterial small subunit ribosomal RNA", at positions 26 to 520 of the family's 1533-position model. The record is from RNAcentral.
AGAACGAACGUUGGCGGCGUGGAUUAGGCAUGCAAGUCGAAUGAAUCCCAUCUGGGUAACUGGAUGGGGGAAAUGGCGAAAGGGGCAGUAAGGCAUGGGCAACCUACCCCGGGGACGGGGAUAGCCUUUCUAACGAGAGGGUAAUACCUGGCGAUUCAGCGAGGAGGCAUCUCUUUGCUGGGAAAUGAGUUUCGCCUCGGGAGGGGCUCAUGUAGUAUUAGCUAGUUGGUAAGGUAACGGCUUACCAAGGCAAAGAUGCUUAGCGGGUGUGAGAGCACGACCCGCGCCACUGGCACUGAGACACUGGCCAGACUCCUACGGGAGGCUGCAGUCGAGGAUCUUCGGCAAUGGGCGCAAGCCUGACCGAGCGACGCCGCGUGUGCGAAGAAGGCCUCGGUUGUAAGCACUGUCGAGGGAAGAAAGACCGUAAGGUUGAUCGACCCUGGAGGAAGCACGGGCUAAGUUCGUGCCAGCAGCCGCGG